This 488-nucleotide ribosomal RNA is filed under the name uncultured bacterium. RNAcentral describes it as "bacterial SSU rRNA". It matches the Rfam family "Bacterial small subunit ribosomal RNA", at positions 29 to 511 of the family's 1533-position model. The record is from RNAcentral.
AUUGAACGCUGGCGGCGUGCCUAACACAUGCAAGUCGAGCGGUAACAGGUGUAGCAAUACAUGCUGACGAGCGGCGGACGGGUGAGUAACGCUUGGGAAUCUGCCUAUUAGUGGGGGACAACCCGGGGAAACUCGGGCUAAUACCGCAUACGCACUACGGUGGAAAGCCGGGGACCGCAAGGCCUGGCGCUAACAGAUGAGCCCAAGUCGGAUUAGCUAGUUGGAGGGUAACGGCCUACCAAGGCGACGAUCCGUAACUGGUCUGAGAGGACGACCAGUCACACCGGAACUGAGACACGGUCCGGACUCCUACGGGAGGCAGCAGUGGGGAAUAUUGGACAAUGGGCGAAAGCCUGAUCCAGCGACGCCGCGUGGGUGAAGAAGGCCUGCGGGUUGUAAAGCCCUUUCAGUGGGGAAGAAAAGCCUCGAGCUAACACCUCGGGUCUUGACGUAACCCAUAGAAGAAGCACCGGCUAACUCUGUGCCAG